RNAcentral lists this ribosomal RNA (403 nucleotides) under uncultured bacterium. Its description in RNAcentral is "bacterial SSU rRNA". It matches the Rfam family "Bacterial small subunit ribosomal RNA", at positions 355 to 775 of the family's 1533-position model. The record is from RNAcentral.
UGGGGAAUCUUAGACAAUGGGCGCAAGCCUGAUCUAGCCAUGCCGCGUGGGUGAUGAAGGCCUUAGGGUCGUAAAGCCCUUUCGCCGGGGAAGAUAAUGACGGUACCCGGUAAAGAAACCCCGGCUAACUCCGUGCCAGCAGCCGCGGUAAUACGGAGGGGGUUAGCGUUGUUCGGAAUGACUGGGCGUAAAGCGCGCGUAGGCGGAUCAGGAAGUUGGGGGUGAAAUCCCGGGGCUCAACCCCGGAAUGGCCUUCAAAACUCCUGGUCUUGAGUUCGAGAGAGGUGAGUGGAAUUCCGAGUGUAGAGGUGAAAUUCGUAGAUAUUCGGAGGAACACCAGUGGCGAAGGCGGCUCACUGGCUCGACACUGACGCUGAGGUGCGAAAGCGUGGGGAGCAAACAG